Non-coding RNA from Heterocephalus glaber (naked mole-rat), 1791 nucleotides. NCBI's taxonomy places the organism in Eukaryota, Metazoa, Chordata, Mammalia, Rodentia, Bathyergidae. The record is from RefSeq and is a predicted model, not a curated record.
CUGAACAAGGAGGAGGGAGAGGAGGAACAUUUCCCCAAACUGCUCUGGGCUCACAAGGUUGGGCUUGCCCCAGCCCUCCCACCUUUGCCAAGCCCAGAGUGCACCAAGAAGACAGGACUUUCAAGAGGUCCCUGGAGCCAGUAGUUUGACCUUGAACACAGGCGACACUCUCUGGCAGAAACUUCAUUGUUUUGCCCAAUACAGUCAAAUCCAGAAAAAGAAAGAAGAUAAUUCUCAUCUGAUCAGCCCCAAAGCUUUCCUUGAAGAUGAUGGACUGGUGAGCACCAGCAAAUCAGCCUCUUCAAGAGUUGGGAGUCCAGAUGUUGGACUAUAGCAAUGUGGGUAAGAGAAGAAGGAAGGAAGUGAGUCCCCUGAACCCACAAGGCUCUGAAAUGAGAAUUGGAGCCCAAGGUUUCUCCUCUGUUAUUUCCCUCUGCCAUGCUGUCCUGCCUUGGAGCCAGUCGACUGUGGACUAACACCAUGAGCGAAAAUAAACCCCUCCUCCUUUAAGUUGCACUGCUUUUGGACAUUCUAGUUUUUUGUGCUUCCAAAAGAAGAAAAAAAGAGUAAAGGAGUUUGGAUAAAUGAGCACCAGCCCUUUAAAGCAUCUGGAAAUCAUAUCAGCCAGAGAGGAAGGGAUUAAAACAGUGGAAGAAGGGAGAAAUAGAUAUGCCAUUGGAAUAAAACUCAUCAAAGGAAGGUACACAAAUAUACAGAUGUACACAGAUGAUGAGAGAGACAUCAUAUUUGACCUGGAACCCAGGCUUUGAAUUUGUUUCUAUUCAACCAUCACUUUAAGUCUGCUGUAAAUGAGGGCAUUACACAGCAAAGGCAUGAAUGAGACCCAGGUGUGCCUCGGGAGUGUGCCCAUGAGAGCGAUGUCUCUGGCCAGCUCCUCAGUCUGAACACUGUUCUCUCUCUCAUUGCCUGGAAACCUGCUGUUCUCCAUGACUGGAAGAUGAGCAAACACACCUGUGUGUCCAAGCUGAAGGUUUUUGCCCACUUGAUAUUGAGUGAAGAAUUAUCUUAGGCUGCAUAUAAAAUAUAUGACACACUUAAUUUACAUAAGUAGCAAAACUUUCUUUAAAAAUAUUUUUAUUUUAACUUUUUAAAAAGAGUGAGAAAAAAGGGUGAGCUACAGAUUGGACACAUUCAUGGGGAAACUUCCCUGGCUGAGGUAGUCCUAUGAUAGGUAGACCCACGUGUAUCCAGAAGCUGACUACAGACACAUUUAGCCAUCCAAGAUAAGAAAAAUUUCCUAGCUGAGCUUAGUUCAACAACAGCAUGCAGAAUUUUGAACUAAAUAAAUGGUGCUGUGUAAGCUGCUAAGUUUUGGGGUUAUUGUACAAAAUCUGAUAUAACUGGCUCCAAGAGAACAAAACCAGUGAAUUAUUUGUUUGAAAAAAAAGAUAGCAUCUUAAAGAUGUGGUAAUCAUAUCAGUCCUCAAGACCUAGAGUCAGAGGAUUUUGAAGAAUGAGCAGCAGUUUGGGUUGAAUCUUUUCUUUUUCAAUUGAUUUCAAUUUUCUUUUUCUAUUCAUUGAUCACAAAAUUCACCCUUUUAAAGUACAGGAUCCAUUUGAUUUAGAUAUAUUCAUAAGCUUAUUAAAUUAUCAUUGCUAAUUCCAGAGUUUUUUUAUCACCCCUAAAAGUCACCCUAUACACAUUAACAACAAUUCCUCAUUUCCCUCUUGCCUAACUCCCUUGUAACCACUAAUGUAUUUUUUGUCACUAUGAAUUUGUCUAUUCUGGAUGUUUCAUAUGAAUAAAAUCACACAUUAUGUGUUUUUUUA